UUGGAGGGCAAGUCUGGUGCCAGCAGCCGCGGUAAUUCCAGCUCCAAUAGCGUAUAUUAAAGUUGUUGCAGUUAAAAAGCUCGUAGUUGAACUUCGGGAUCAAUGGAUCGGUCAUGCCAUCGGUAUGUACUGGUCUCAUUGGUUCUCACCUUCUAAGGAACCAUAAUGUCAUUCAUUUGAUGUUGUGGGGAAUUAGGACUGUUACCUUGAAAAAAUUAGAGUGUUUAAAGCAGGCUAACGCUUGAAUACAUUAGCAUGGAAUAAUGAAAUAGGACAUCGCAUUCUAUUUUGUUGGUUUCUAGGAUCGAUGUAAUGAUUAAUAGGGAUAGUUGGGGGCAUUAGUAUUCAAUUGUCAGAGGUGAAAUUCUUGGAUUUAUUGAAGACUAACUACUGCGAAAGCAUUUGCCAAGGAUGUUUUCAUUAAUCAAGAACGAAAGUUAGGGGAUCGAAGACGAUCAGAUACCGUCGUAGUCUUAACCAUAAACUAUGCCGACUAGGGAUCGGAUGAUGUUGAUUUUUUAAUGACUCAUUCGGCGCCUUACGGGAAAC
This 549-nucleotide ribosomal RNA is filed under the name Septoglomus viscosum. RNAcentral describes it as "SSU rRNA". It matches the Rfam family "Eukaryotic small subunit ribosomal RNA", at positions 548 to 1098 of the family's 1831-position model. Lineage: Eukaryota; Fungi; Glomeromycota; Glomeromycetes; Glomerales; Glomeraceae. The record is from RNAcentral.